CACGCUGUAAACGAUGAUCACUAGAUGUUACCUCUGCUUGCAGGGGUAGUAUCGUAGCUAACGCGUUAAGUGAUCCGCCUGGGGANCGAGAAACCUUACCUAGGCUUGACAUGCUUUUGGCGGCUGUAGAGAUACAGCUUUCUAGGUUUACCUAGACAAUUGCACAGGUGC
RNAcentral lists this ribosomal RNA (171 nucleotides) under uncultured bacterium. RNAcentral's name for it is "partial 16S ribosomal RNA". The record is from RNAcentral.